UCGCAAUGAUGAUUAUUAAAUUUCCAUUCGCAGUCUCAACCAGAUGCCUUCGGGCAGAUGUUGGGGAAUUAGCCUUCCUUGGAUGUCUGAGCGA
Molecule: small nucleolar RNA, 94 nt
Filed under: Eptatretus burgeri (inshore hagfish)
Lineage: Eukaryota; Metazoa; Chordata; Myxini; Myxiniformes; Myxinidae
Description: Small nucleolar RNA SNORD14 (ENSEBUG00000000231.1)
Source: RNAcentral